AUCCAGACUCCUACGGGAGGCAGCAGUGGGGAAUAUUGCACAAUGGGGGAAACCCUGAUGCAGCGACGCCGCGUGAGUGAAGAAGUAUUUCGGUACGUAAAGCUCUAUCAGCAGGGAAGAAAAUGACGGUACCUGACUAAGAAGCCCCGGCUAACUACGUGCCAGCAGCCGCGGUAAUACGUAGGGGGCAAGCGUUAUCCGGAUUUACUGGGUGUAAAGGGAGCGUAGACGGCAGCGCAAGUCUGGAGUGAAAUCCCCUGGCUUAACCAUGGAACUGCUUUGGAAACUGUGCAGCUGGAGUGCAGGUGAGGUAAGCGGAAUUCCUAGUGUAGCGGUGAAAUGCGUAGAUAUUAGGAGGAACACCAGUGGCGAAGGCGGCUUACUGGACUGUAACUGACGUUGAGGCUCGAAAGCGUGGGGAGCAAACAGGAUUAGAUACCCCAGUCUAA
This 449-nucleotide ribosomal RNA is filed under the name uncultured bacterium. Its description in RNAcentral is "bacterial SSU rRNA". It matches the Rfam family "Bacterial small subunit ribosomal RNA", at positions 329 to 798 of the family's 1533-position model. The record is from RNAcentral.